Molecule: non-coding RNA, 301 nt
Filed under: Brassica oleracea var. oleracea
Lineage: Eukaryota; Viridiplantae; Streptophyta; Magnoliopsida; Brassicales; Brassicaceae
Source: RNAcentral
AAUAAUUAUUAUAUAAUAAAAUUAAUUCAUUUAUUAAUCCGCGGUUCAUCCUUGGUCGAUCCAGUUACCCAGCAAUCCGGUAAGUCGUCCGGUUCAGUGUCCGGGUCGGGUUUAAAAACAUUGAUCUGGUUUGAACGAAGGCUCAGAAUCAGGUGGGAGCUAAAAUCAGAGGGUAAUGUGUCAGGCUGUUUCACAGAGCAGCGACUACUUCUCGCUCUCUGCAGUGAACGGAUACGGCUCGGAGCCACUCAGACCCGCCAAUAUGGCCUGCUGGUUCGUUUUCAGUUGAACCACCAUUUUA